Long non-coding RNA from Mastomys coucha (southern multimammate mouse), 1318 nucleotides. RefSeq lists it as uncharacterized. The record is from RefSeq and is a predicted model, not a curated record. The transcript has 2 exons. Lineage: Eukaryota; Metazoa; Chordata; Mammalia; Rodentia; Muridae.
AGCUUUAACCUUCCCCCUCCCCCACAAGGAACUUUUGAGAGCCAAGCUAGAAGCAAGGCUUAGGAUAGGGCUAUUCUAAUUCAGAUGUCACUCAAAGCCCUUAGGCAAUGGAUUUCAAGCCAAAUCCAAGCAUCUUGACUUUUAGUUUAUUUACACUAAAACACAUAUCUAAGCUCAGGUUUUAAAUGGAAAAGUGUUUGGUCAAUAACGUCCAUUAACCCGGCAUCAUUUUAAUGAGAAGAGGUAAGAAGCAAGAUUGGAUUUCCUAAAUAACACAGCCAAAACCGCAGCAAAACAAAUGUUAGCAGAAAAGCAUGCUGGGAAAGAACUGCUUGCUCUCCAAAAUCAAGUUUUCCAAAAGCCAGGUGAUGGGGCACAGAGGACGGAUCAUAGCGACGAUUCUUCCGACAACAAACCAAAGGAAAAAAUUGUCACCCAGGUCCAAUUUGGUAAAUCAAUGAAUUGACGGAGCUUAUGGGAGCACAGACGGGGAGCUACUUACAGGAUCAGAGGAGACUCGUAAACACCUGCAUCCCUGCAAAAGGACCACCCCAUCAUGGCUGAUGACUCAUGGAAGAUACAUCAUGGAAUCCAGGCCUUCGGUUAGCCUUAAGGCUCUACGUUUUCUGGUACCUCCCAAGAUAACUGUUCGGCUGAGGUAGAAUUACACCCAGCUGGGAGGCAACCGAGGUGAGGCGUGAUUGGCUAGAAACUCUGGGAGGGCGGACCAACCCUCCCCACCCCACCCCACCCCUCUGUGAGGAAACACCAACAGGCUGGAUCUUGUUGAGGGGCUCUUGUGGGUAAUAUAGCUGCUCUGUAAUGGCUGUUAACGUUCAGAAGAAAACAUACUGCAGCAAAACUCUACAGUGUUGGCUACUGGGCCUCGCCUGUCACACUAGUAUGUGUCUCAGCACUGUGACAGAACACUUGAUAAUAACAGCUUAAGGAAGGCAGUGUUUACUGUUGGCUAGAAGUUCGAGGAUCCGCAGCAUCACAAUGGUGACGGUAGAGGAGGUCAGACACAUUGUACCAUAUUCAGGAAGGGGAGAGAGAGAAUGUUAUCCACACUCUCUCCCUUUAAUUCAGUCCGAAAUCCCAACCUGUGAAUCGCACCCACCCAUCUUUAGGAUUGGAUUCCUUCUUCAGUGACCAUUUCCUUCCAGAGACAUAUAGACACACCCAGGAAUGUGUUUCCAUGGUGAUUCUAACUCCCAUAAAGUUGAGAAGAUUAUCACACCUGCCUUUCUCGUUUGCUACUCAAUUAGAUCACAGUAACAUAUAUUCGUUUUAAAAAUAAAGCAAACAAAAAUCCCAA